CUUCUCUAUGCGCCUCGAACACAUUAGUCAUGUGGAGUUGGCGCAUUACAAAUACGCUAUAUUAUGUAGCUUUAGCGCUGGAAAUACUGUUUGUUUCAUGCAUUUAUACUUUGUUUGAUAACCAUAAAAUAUAGGUUAUCGUUUUUCCUGAAAUAUAUUUUUCAUACCUUAAAAAUUAAUUAAAACGAAUGAAUUUAAGUUACUGGAACACUGCCAAACGCUAAUCAAAUUGGCAGCAUCUAUGACCUGCAUAUUUUUUUUAAAUGGUGGACUGCAUGGAUGGAUUAUAUUUUCGUUGAUAUGCAGGCAUUGUAACAGAUGUAGAAUCUUCUGCCAAGAAACUUAAAGACAUCUCUACGAACUGCGUAGCUGUGCCGACACACUCCAGGCACUAUGAUCAUAAACAAUCAGAUUGCAAAUUUGUACCGACGGAGCUUUGACAAUGUGUUUUCGAGUGAAGAUGUUCAGACUGCAUUCCUGUUUGCUUUAUAUCUUUUACACCUGGAGCAUUUGGACUCUGACUUCGACAACUGUAAAAUGCAUAAAUAUUACAGUGGAUUGCGCAAAGAGCAUCACACUCACAUCCCCGAACUAUCCUUCGCUUUACCCCAAUGAUGCAUUUGAGGAGUGGUCCAUCACAGCACCUCUUCAGAGGAGGAUCCUCGUCACUUUUAAUGACUUUAGCCUGGUAUCUCCAAAUGAUUUUAUUUACAUUCAAAACAGGGAUGAUAUAAAGCAAUACACAGGCUUGAAUAAGGAAUUUUCUCCUUAUCUGACGUCAGGACACACUCUUCAUAUUGAGUUCACCUCAUCUCGAAGUGGCAGAAGGAAAGGAUUCAAUAUUACAGUCUCCUGUACCGAUC
Strongylocentrotus purpuratus (purple sea urchin) is the source of this 863-nucleotide long non-coding RNA. RefSeq lists it as uncharacterized. The record is from RefSeq and is a predicted model, not a curated record. NCBI's taxonomy places the organism in Eukaryota, Metazoa, Echinodermata, Echinoidea, Camarodonta, Strongylocentrotidae. The transcript has 4 exons.